Molecule: non-coding RNA, 293 nt
Organism: Populus trichocarpa (black cottonwood)
Lineage: Eukaryota; Viridiplantae; Streptophyta; Magnoliopsida; Malpighiales; Salicaceae
Source: Rfam
CUAUCUUGUGUGUUGUGUUUGAAGCUAGGGUAAUUAAUUUGUGCGACCGCGACAUCGCAACAGAAGCUGACUGGCGGGAUCCCCUCAAGGGUUGCACCGCCAACCGACCUUGAUCUUCUGAGAAGGGUUCGAGUGAGAGCAUGCCUGUCGGGACCCGAAAGAUGGUGAACUAUGUCUGAGUGGGGCGAAGCCAGAGGAAACUCUAGUGGAGGCCCGCAGCGAUACUGACGUGCAAAUCGUUCGUCUGACUUGGGUAUAGGGGCAAAAGACUAAUCAAACCAUCUAGUAGCUGG